AGACGUCUACAUUAGAUACCCCGGUAGUCCCAGCCGUAAACUAUGCGCGUUAGGUGUAUCGGUGACCACGAGUUACCGAGGUGCCGAAGGGAACCGUGAAACGUGCCGCCUGGGAAGUACGGUCGCAAGGCUGAAACUUAAGGAAUUGGCGGGGAGCACCACAACAGGUGGAGCCUGCGGUUUAAUUGGACUCAACGCCGGGAAGCUCACCGGAUAGGACAGCAGAAUGAUUGCCGGGCUGAAGACCCUGCAUGACUAGCUG
Molecule: ribosomal RNA, 262 nt
Filed under: uncultured archaeon
Lineage: Archaea
Description: partial 16S ribosomal RNA
Rfam family: Archaeal small subunit ribosomal RNA
Source: RNAcentral